This 672-nucleotide long non-coding RNA is filed under the name Zonotrichia albicollis (white-throated sparrow). RNAcentral describes it as "lncRNA (ENSZALG00000009696.1)". The record is from RNAcentral. Lineage: Eukaryota; Metazoa; Chordata; Aves; Passeriformes; Passerellidae.
GUUCAACCUAAACAGUGCACGUGGAAUACAGAGAUGCCCUAAAUAUAUAUAGAGAGAAUACGGACAUUCCUUCAAUAUGCACAAAUAAAUAUGAAAGUGUAAAUGCCUAUGCUCUAGAAGGGGUUUAAAACGCAAAAGAAAGACAAAAACCUGUUUAUCGAAAGAAUUUAACAGCUCGAUCCCCCUCUGAACAUCCCCCAGCUGCUCCCAAUCCCUCCCAGAAAUCAGCUGCUCCCACCGCGUUAAUCAGCGCCCUUCGCAGCAACUUUUCAAUCAGGUUUAACUCUCUGCACCUGGGCAGAGCAGAAUUUAUCCUUCCCGGGCGGGCCUUCCACACCUGCCGCGGCUUUUUCUCCUGCUGUACCUGGGUGUGCCCGGGUGUGUCCCCGGCGGGACGAGCGGAGGCGCCGAGCCCGGAGCGAGCGGGCACCGAACACCGGACACGGGCACCGAGGUUUAACUUGCAUAACAUCACAGAUCCUCCUCCAAAGCCAAUGCAUUAAUUGCUGGGGAAGAACAGGAAAACAUAAAGAGCCUUUCAAGGGAAUAAUUUUCUAAAAGUCAGAAUCUGCAAAGCUUAUUUCUGAUAUCACGAGUGCAAUGGAAAUAUUCAGCAAGGUAAGAAACUCCUGCUCCAGGGCUGAAAUCCUCUCUGCUCCUCCUGGAGAGGGA